AACGAACGCUGGCGGCAGGCUUAACACAUGCAAGUCGAACGCACUUUUCGGAGUGAGUGGCAGACGGGUGAGUAACGCGUGGGAAUCUACCUAUUUCUACGGAAUAACGCAGAGAAAUUUGUGCUAAUACCGUAUACGUCCUAAUGGAGAAAGAUUUAUCGGAGAUAGAUGAGCCCGCGUUGGAUUAGCUAGUUGGUGAGGUAAUGGCCCACCAAGGCGACGAUCCAUAGCUGGUCUGAGAGGAUGACCAGCCACAUUGGGACUGAGACACGGCCCAGACUCCUACGGGAGGCAGCAGUGGGGAAUAUUGGACAAUGGGCGCAAGCCUGAUCCAGCCAUGCCGCGUGAGUGAUGAAGGCCCUAGGGUUGUAAAGCUCUUUCACCGGUGAAGAUAAUGACGGUAACCGGAGAAGAAGCCCCGGCUAACUUCGUG
RNAcentral lists this ribosomal RNA (433 nucleotides) under uncultured bacterium. Its description in RNAcentral is "bacterial SSU rRNA". It matches the Rfam family "Bacterial small subunit ribosomal RNA", at positions 29 to 507 of the family's 1533-position model. The record is from RNAcentral.